GCCUCCAUAGCUCAACGGAUAGAGUAGCACUCCUCUAAAGUGAAAGUUCUAGGUUCAAAUCCUAGUGGAGGCG
This 73-nucleotide transfer RNA is filed under the name Cyanobacteria bacterium FACHB-472. Its description in RNAcentral is "tRNA-Arg". It matches the Rfam family "tRNA". From Rfam's summary of the family: Transfer RNA (tRNA) molecules are approximately 80 nucleotides in length. Lineage: Bacteria; Bacillati; Cyanobacteriota. The record is from RNAcentral.